GCUCACGGCAAUGCCAGAUCCUUAACCCACUGAGUGAGGCCAGGGAUUGAACCCUCAGCCUCAUGGUUCCUAGUUGGAUUCAUUUCUGUUGGGCCAUGAUGGGAACUCCUUGUUCUAGUCCUAUUUUACAGCACAGAGGGCAGGAUUAUAUAAAAUUAUUUCUCUUCUUCACAGGAAGAAAGUGAUGUUCAUGCCAUAAGUGACUCACCAGAGCCACUUGGCAGGUGGAACCAGGCAGUGCUCUUGAGGAAUUCUUCCAAGGACAGCGCGGAGAAACAGAAAAGGAGAGAGCCUUGUAUGUGGUAUCAACCAUUUGAAGAUCAGAUGAAGAAAGAGGUUUACACUUGCAGAAACAGGCAGAGAGAUCAAAGGUGAAGAUGGCAUCUACUCCACUCUCAAGAAAAAAAACUGGUCAUGGAGAUGACAUAAAAAACAAGUAAGUCUAGUUCCAUUUAUUGCAUUAGGUAUUAUAGAAACCCAGUUCUUGUGGGCUGUAUUUGGGAAGAAGGCCAUCAUAGAGAGCACAGAGAAGAGGUGACAGUAGCACCAGCCUUGAAGGAUGAGCAGAGCCCCACAACAAAGGGCAGCUUUGUGAAGAAGGGCCAUAACACAGGGGUUGAAAAUUGGGAUAUCCAAAUAGACCUAAGCAGUCAGCUUGGUUUAGGGAAUUUCAUCCCUAGAAAUAUGCUUAGAGAGCUGAACAUAGAUUGUUGGACUAGCAGAGUCCUUAUCGGGCUCAUGCAUCCCAGCCUCUAGGUAAAUAGUGGGGAAACUAGUUAGGAUCUGAGGGGUGGGUACUAAAAACUCACUAUGAGGUCUUGGGCCUGUGCCAGGCUUUAAAGCCCUUCUCCAUUGCCAGUGCCUCCCCCAUAAAGUCACUUGCUUAAGCCUGUCUCCACACCUUCAACCCUUAUCAUUAUUUAUGCAUGAAGAAAGGAAAUAUUUAAAAUAAAUCCUAAUGUUCAUGGACUGGCAAUACUGUUGGCAAAAUGAGACUGAGGAAAACUUCCUUUCUUAAGCCACGGACACUGCAUACAGAAUGCAAGGCUGAUUUCAACUCACUGGGGUUAAUUCAAGACAUGCUUAUUGAAAUUCAUACUAUGUGCAAGACCCAGAGGAAAUCGUAUCCUCCCUUUCAAGACCAGCCUGGAAGUGGUCGUGACUUCAUGUCCUUGUUGGAACAGCCUGGACCAUUAUGGGGAUGUCUUAGGUUGCUGUCCAACCCAGAAGGAUGCUUAGCACAAUAUUUUUGAAUUCCUAUAAAGCAAAUGUGGGUUAAAUAAUGACAGACUUUUCUGAGUGCUAGGCUGAUCUCCGAGGUGAUCCAUCCAUUCUGGCUGCUAUGUAAGAUAUUGAGUGGCACAGAGCAUUUCAGACAGAGCAGUGGUGGAUCUCUCUUCCACGUCAGGGGCACUGUCAAACAGUGGUCCCUGGAUGUCCCUCAAGUGAAGCCCCUACACCAUGAUGGCUGAACUUUAGAGGAUUAGUAGCCUUGGGUCUUUUAAAGGUCUGAAUUCUCUUCUAUUUGUUUAUUUACCAUUUUAGGAGCUCAGCUAUCUGUUCUCUGAACUGAUCCUUGGUGCUAUUCUGUUUUCCUUAAGGAUGUUGCUUAGAAUGCUAAUAAUUUAACCUUGAAGCCAAAGACCACUAGGGACACACCUAGAUAAAAACAAAAAGUUGGGUUUAUUGAGCUGGCUGGAGUAAGGGAGAAGGCACCACAGAGGACCAGUGGGCAGGCCCUUUUACAGGAUUCAGGUUUAUGCUGGAUGAUUCUAGGGAUGGAGCAGGAGAGCAGGGGCUAGUUCUGGUCAGUGAUGUCAAGAAGUAGGGACAGUUAGGUGA
Molecule: non-coding RNA, 1842 nt
Organism: Sus scrofa (pig)
Lineage: Eukaryota; Metazoa; Chordata; Mammalia; Artiodactyla; Suidae
Source: RefSeq, a predicted model, not a curated record